UACGUAGGCAGCGAGCGUUGUUCGGAGUUACUGGGCGUAAAGAGUGCGUAGGCGGUUUUCUAAGUUUGGUGUGAAAUCUCCCGGCUUAACUGGGAGGGUGCGCCGAAGACUGGAAGGCUUGAGUAUGGGAGAGGUAAGCGGAAUUCCUGGUGUAGCGGUGAAAUGCGUAGAUAUCUGGAGGAAUACCGGUGGCGAAGGCGGGUCUCUGGGCCGAUACUGACGCUGAGGAGCGAAAGCGUGGGGAGCGAACAGG
RNAcentral lists this ribosomal RNA (253 nucleotides) under uncultured bacterium. RNAcentral's name for it is "partial 16S ribosomal RNA". It matches the Rfam family "Bacterial small subunit ribosomal RNA", at positions 524 to 776 of the family's 1533-position model. The record is from RNAcentral.